Molecule: transfer RNA, 61 nt
Filed under: Vestalis melania
Lineage: Eukaryota; Metazoa; Arthropoda; Insecta; Odonata; Calopterygidae
Description: tRNA-Cys
Source: RNAcentral
GGUCUUAUAGUCAAUAUAUGACGUCAGAUUGCAAUUCUGAAGUAGUUUUAAACUAAGGCCU